RNAcentral lists this ribosomal RNA (490 nucleotides) under uncultured bacterium. RNAcentral describes it as "partial 16S ribosomal RNA". It matches the Rfam family "Bacterial small subunit ribosomal RNA", at positions 30 to 507 of the family's 1533-position model. The record is from RNAcentral.
AUUGAACGCUGGCGGCAGGCCUAACACAUGCAAGUCGAACGGUAACAGGGAUCAGCUUGCUGAUUCGCUGACGAGUGGCGGACGGGUGAGUAAUGUCUGGGAAACUGCCUGAUGGAGGGGGAUAACUACUGGAAACGGUAGCUAAUACCGCAUAACGUCGCAAGACCAAAGAGGGGGACCUUCGGGCCUCUUGCCAUCGGAUGUGCCCAGAUGGGAUUAGCUAGUAGGUGGGGUAACGGCUCACCUAGGCGAAGAUCCCUAGCUGGUCUGAGAGGAUGACCAGCCACACUGGAACUGAGACACGGUCCAGACUCCUACGGGAGGCAGCAGUGGGGAAUAUUGCACAAUGGGCGCAAGCCUGAUGCAGCCAUGCCGCGUGUAUGAAGAAGGCCUUCGGGUUGUAAAGUACUUUCAGCGGGGAGGAAGGGAGUAAAGUUAAUACCUUUGCUCAUUGACGUUACCCGCAGAAGAAGCACCGGCUAACUCCGUG